Molecule: ribosomal RNA, 301 nt
Filed under: uncultured bacterium
Lineage: Bacteria
Description: partial 16S ribosomal RNA
Rfam family: Bacterial small subunit ribosomal RNA
Source: RNAcentral
CAGCCGCCGCGGGAAUACAGAGGGUGCGAGCGUUAAUCGGAUUUACUGGGCGUAAAGCGUGCGUAGGCGGCUUUUUAAGUCGGAUGUGAAAUCCCUGAGCUUAACUUAGGAAUUGCAUUCGAUACUGGGAAGCUAGAGUAUGGGAGAGGAUGGUAGAAUUCCAGGUGUAGCGGUGAAAUGCGUAGAGAUCUGGAGGAAUACCGAUGGCGAAGGCAGCCAUCUGGCCUAAUACUGACGCUGAGGUACGAAAGCAUGGGGAGCAAACAGGAUUAGAGACCCCAGUAGUCCCUGUCUCUUAUAA